Molecule: non-coding RNA, 677 nt
Rfam family: Eukaryotic large subunit ribosomal RNA
UCGCGCAUCUGCAAGGAUGCUGGCGUAAUGGUCAUCAACGACCCGUCUUGAAACACGGACCAAGGAGUCGUCUUCGUAUGCGAGUGUUCGGGUGUCAAACCCCUACGCGUAAUGAAAGUGAACGCAGGUGAGAGCUUCGGCGCAUCAUCGACCGAUCCUGAUGUUCUCGGAUGGAUUUGAGUAAGAGCAUACGGGGCCGGACCCGAAAGAAGGUGAACUAUGCCUGUAUAGGGUGAAGCCAGAGGAAACUCUGGUGGAGGCUCGCAGCGGUUCUGACGUGCAAAUCGAUCGUCAAAUAUGGGCAUGGGGGCGAAAGACUAAUCGAACCUUCUAGUAGCUGGUUUCCGCCGAAGUUUCCCUCAGGAUAGCAGUGUUGAACUCAGUUUUAUGAGGUAAAGCGAAUGAUUAGGGACUCGGGGGCGCUAUUUAGCCUUCAUCCAUUCUCAAACUUUAAAUAUGUAAGAAGCUCUUGUUGCUUAAUUGAACGUGAGCAUUCGAAUGUAUCAACACUAGUGGGCCAUUUUUGGUAAGCAGAACUGGCGAUGCGGGAUGAACCGAACGCGAGGUUAAGGUGCCAGAGUAGACGCUCAUCAGACACCACAAAAGGUGUUAGUACAUCUUGACAGCAGGACGGUGGCCAUGGAAGUCGGAAUCCGCUAAGGACUGUGUAACAACUC